GAUGAACGCUAGCGGCAGGCCUAAUACAUGCAAGUCGAACGGUAGAUCGGGUAGCAAUACUUGAUUGAGAGUGACGUAAGGGUGCGUAACACGUAUGCAAUCUACCCUCAACAGGAGUAUAGCUCGGGGAAACUCGGAUUAACACUCCAUAACAUUACGAUGUGGCAUCACAUUGUGAUUAAAACUCCGGUGGUUGAGGAUGAGCAUGCGUCUGAUUAGUUAGUUGGAGGUGUAACGGACCCCCAAGACGAUGAUCAGUAGGGGAACUGAGAGGUUGAUCCCCCACACUGGCACUGAGAUACGGGCCAGACUCCUACGGGAGGCAGCAGUAGGGAAUAUUGGUCAAUGGGUGAGAGCCUGAACCAGCCAUGCCGCGUGCAGGAAGACGGCCUUCUGGGUUGUAAACUGCUUUUAUCUGGGAUAAAAAGCCCAUGCGUGGGACAUUGAAGGUACCAGAUGAAUAAGCACCGGCUAACUACG
This 480-nucleotide ribosomal RNA is filed under the name uncultured bacterium. RNAcentral's name for it is "bacterial SSU rRNA". It matches the Rfam family "Bacterial small subunit ribosomal RNA", at positions 28 to 505 of the family's 1533-position model. The record is from RNAcentral.